CCUACGGGAGGCAGCAGUGGGGGAUAUUGCACAAUGGGGGAAACCCUGAUGCAGCGACGCCGCGUGAGGGAAGACGGUUUUCGGAUUGUAAACCUCUGUCUUUGGGGACGAAUUGAGACGGUACCCAAGGAGGAAGCACCGGCUAAUUCCGUGCCAGCAGCCGCGGUAAUACGGAAGGUCCGGGCGUUAUCCGGAUUUAUUGGGUUUAAAGGGAGCGUAGGCCGCAUGUCAAGCGUGCUGUGAAAUGUCCGGGCUCAACCCGGGCCUUGCAGCGCGAACUGGCGUGCUUGAGUCCGCGGAAAGCAGGCGGAAUUCGUCGUGUAGCGGUGAAAUGCUUAGAUAUGACGAAGAACCCCGAUUGCGAAGGCAGCUUGCUGCAGCGGAACUGACGCUGAUGCUCGAAAGCGCGGGUAUCGAACAGGAUUAGAUACCCGGGUAGUC
This 441-nucleotide ribosomal RNA is filed under the name uncultured bacterium. RNAcentral's name for it is "partial 16S ribosomal RNA". It matches the Rfam family "Bacterial small subunit ribosomal RNA", at positions 338 to 795 of the family's 1533-position model. The record is from RNAcentral.